CGUGCAUCCCAACCUCCAACCGGAUUCCCAGCUUCUUCCCUUCCGGAUGAGUCCCAAGCACCUAACAGGGCUCUGUUAAGAAACAGAACCAAAUCCUCCGCAUAAUCCACGGGCUUCCGAGAUCUUCCCUCAGCAAAAUAAAUCAAGGAGUUCAUCAUCAUAACCAUCCGAACUUCACUCCCUGAUUUUUAUCCAACGCCCG
RNAcentral lists this long non-coding RNA (202 nucleotides) under Phoenix dactylifera (date palm). RNAcentral's name for it is "long non-coding RNA (PDAC_LNC009960)". Lineage: Eukaryota; Viridiplantae; Streptophyta; Magnoliopsida; Arecales; Arecaceae. The record is from RNAcentral.